CAAAAAACAUUUGGUCAAUUUUGAAAAUACAGUUACAUGUUUAAAAGCACAUCUGAUAUUUUUACUGUUUUAUGUAUGAAUUCAAACAAUUAUUUGUGUUUUAUAUCGAGAAUUACUUCAGCUGCCAUGAAAAAGAAAAUAUUGUGAGAUGCUUUGGAACAUUCUUGGGACAAUUGUAUAUUUGGUGAAAUACAACAGAAAGGACAUUUCAUUAAUUGGAUAAAAUGGAUUCAGUGAACUGAUCAGUACAAAAACCUAUGUUGAAAAGCAUAUAAAAGUAGCCAUGGUAGCAGCUCCAAGGAAGAUGGUUAAAUAAAUCUUCAACCAAGUCUGAGGCUUUACCAAGAAAAUAAGAAGGCAAGUUUAAAUAAGCCAAAAAUUUCUAUACAUGCUAUCGGUAAUUUGAUUAAAAUAGAAGGCAAGUUUAAAUAAGUCAAAAAUUUCUAUACAUGCUAUCAGUAAUUUGAUUAAAAUGUAUAUUUAGGGCAUAUAAUAGAGUUACAGUGGAGAUAAUGAUGUUGCUAAUGUAAAAUGAUAUUUUUGCAAUUCAAUGGGAGAUAACUCAUAAUUUACCUUUAUGAACAAUGGAAUAUAUUUAAAUCAUUAUUUUUGUGGAGUUGGAAAUUCAAAUAAUAAACUUAUAAGACUUAUUUUUUUUUUUUAAUCUUUUAUAUUGAUUUUUCAGUUAUUUAGGUUAUAGUAAGAAAUCGGAACAAUAUUUUGUUAAUGUCAGGGAAAUUGAAAUGUAACUUAUAUAAAUUGGCAAUUUUUAUAUUUUAGGUUCUUUCUGUGAGAUGUUUUCUGGUGUGGGAAUAAGACUUGGUGGUCUGAUAAAGCUAAUAUAUAGGUAUGUACCAGUACUGUUUUGAAAAGAAAUAAAUUAUCAAUGUAUUAUAAAAAUACAUAAAGUACAUGUUUUUUACUCUCUUGGCCUUGAAAUAUUCAAACAUUUAAUUUCUGUAAUUAAUUUCUACUCACUUUUUAUAUGAGUACAAAUACAAUGUAUAUGUGUAAAUCAAGGGCAUACGAUACAGUUUUGAUCCCGUAUUUACAGUUUGAUGAAAAUUUCCAUAUAGGCUAUUUUUUGCCUGAUUAAAUCAAAUAUGUAAUAAAAAAUAUACCUUCAUGUGCUACUUUUUGAGUUAAAUGAAAUCGAAAUUUUGUAUAUUUGCUCAAUUUUCAGAUUUGUGGUCGUAUUUUCCCUUUCGAAAGAAAGCCAUAACUUUUUUGUUUUAAAAGAUAAACACAAAUUGUUUUUUGUUAAAUAAUUUGUAAUUUCUGUAUUUUAUAAGUAUCCUAAAAAAUUAUGCAUUUUUUAUUCAGAAAUAACUCAUAGUUAUCAAAUGGUCAUGAAUUGAGAAAAAAAACGUAAUUUUUUGCUGUAUAAUUAUCAAAAUUAAAAAAAUUGCACUAUUUACAGUUUUAUAAAAUUUGGUCCACAUAAUCUCCCUGCAAAAUGAAUCAAAAUGUCGUUUUAAAAAUAGGGGUCCAUGCACUCGUUUUCAAAUUAAAUCAGUUUGAAUGAUAAAAAUCAGUCGAAAAAUGCAUCUUUUCCCGAUAUGUCAUAGUUUGACGUCGCGAAAAUAACAUUUUACGUUAGCAACGUCAUUAGUUGGAUUGCUCUCUCGUCUGUUCUCAACAUCUAUUACAUGAAUAUGACCCAUUUCUUUAUAAUUUUCAUACAUUAACAGUGAUCCUUUCAAAAUAAUUUGGUUAACUAAGCAUUUUAUGUUCUUUUAAAUUUCAGCUUAGCAUCACUGAGCUUGUCUGUAAGGAUUGAAGCUGGGAGUGGGCAAUGGAGCUGACUUUUAUGGUAAGAACCAAUACAAAAAUUAAUGAAUUAUUCAGCCAAGAGCAUGUAAAUACCAUAGAAUAUUAUUAUGCAAAGAAGUUUUAUAUUUUGAUUAUGCAUAGAAGUAUUAUAUUUAAACUGUGUAGAGAAGUGUUAUAUUUUAAUUUUUCUAAAACUAUAUCUGUAUAUAUAAUCAAAUCAGAAAACAAAAAAAAUCAUUUCUUAAUAGGAAAGGUGGUAACAAGAUAAAUAAACGAAAUCAAAAAUUAUGCUGUAACUUAAAAAAAAUCUUUCAAUCUGUUUUACGAUAUCUAAAAUUGUCCCUGUAAAUUAAGUAAAUGAGAUGUGGCUUAAUUGCUAAUGAAAUAAAGAUUUCCCAGAGACCAAAUGACAUGGAUGCAUUCUUCUAAUAGUCACUGUAUGACCUUCAACAAUGAGCAAAACCUAUACCUUACAUAUAACUAUGAAAGUCUACAACAUGACAAAAUGUGAAACAAUUCAAACAAGAAAACCAAUAGCUUGUGAUUUAUGAUGAAACAAUGAAAUAAUAAAAAAAAUCCCUUGUUUGCAAAGGAAGACUGGUUGAUUGUAAAUUCAUGUCUACACAUCACUUCAAAAUAAUGGUAAAAGCAAUGUUCUAUGCAUCAUAAGUGCAAUUGCCAGUUACAUGUACUUGUUUCUUUGCAUUGAAUAUUGUUCUGACAGAUAUUAGAAUGUAUAUUUCUUUUUCAGGUGACUUCAACUGUGGCUGCAGGAAAUUAUUGUGCAAUUCAACUGAAACAAAAAAGAAUGUAAUUCAGACUAUUUUUGUGUAUGUUUAAAAAAAAAUUGUAAAGAUUCUCCAUUUUCAACAAAGCUGGAAGUUGUAGGCUAAAUUGAUACUUCAUAAUUUUACUUUAUUACUUAUAGACCUAC
This 2707-nucleotide long non-coding RNA is filed under the name Mytilus galloprovincialis (Mediterranean mussel). The record is from RNAcentral. Lineage: Eukaryota; Metazoa; Mollusca; Bivalvia; Mytilida; Mytilidae.